GACAUUGCGGCGUGCCUAAGAAUGCAAGUCGAGCGGGGUAGCAAUACCCAGCGGCGAACGGUCGCGUAACACCUAUGCAACCUGCCCCAGAGACCGGGACAACAGUGGGAAACCGCUGCUAAUACCGGAUGCGCCCAUCCUUUCGCAUGAUGUGGAUGAGUAAAGCGAAGCAGUUCGGCUCUGGGAGGGGCUUGCGGCCUAUCAGCUAGAUGGGGGGGUAGUGGCUCACCAUGGCGACGACGGGUAGCUGGUCUGAGAGGAUGGUCAGCCGGACUGGGACUGAGAUACGGCCCAGACUCCUACGGGGGGCAGCAAUUAGGAAUCUUGCGCAAUGGGCGAAAGCCUGACGCAGCGACGCCGCGUGGAGGAGGAAGGCCUUCGGGUUGUAAACU
RNAcentral lists this ribosomal RNA (392 nucleotides) under uncultured bacterium. RNAcentral describes it as "bacterial SSU rRNA". It matches the Rfam family "Bacterial small subunit ribosomal RNA", at positions 37 to 431 of the family's 1533-position model. The record is from RNAcentral.